AUGCUAUAUAUAGAGAGAGUUGCUUGCAGCUUUGGGCAGACACAAGCACAACACAAAACCAUCAUUCCACGAGCAGAUCGACAGGACCGGGAAAGCAAGUUUAGGAGCGACCAACGAACGAUGAAGAGUAGCACGCUGGUGGCGGUCCUACUUCUCCAGACCGUCAUGGUCAUGGGGAUCCUCGCACACUCACAGCACGAUUUCCCCAAGUGCUGCGACCACUGCAACUCCUGGUCGGGGGCCCAAUUCUGCGACGACGUGGGCCCCAAGUGCCGCGACGGCUGCGUCAACUGCCGCGUGGUGCAGACGCGCCCCGUGAAGACGUUCCGGUGUGGAGAUGGACGCUCCGCCUUCCCGUACAUUCCCUGCCCGCCGCCGUGCAAAAAGAACUGA
Molecule: ribosomal RNA, 393 nt
Filed under: Triticum aestivum (bread wheat)
Lineage: Eukaryota; Viridiplantae; Streptophyta; Magnoliopsida; Poales; Poaceae
Description: partial small subunit ribosomal RNA
Source: RNAcentral